Dermochelys coriacea (leatherback sea turtle) is the source of this 1570-nucleotide long non-coding RNA. RefSeq lists it as uncharacterized. The record is from RefSeq and is a predicted model, not a curated record. NCBI's taxonomy places the organism in Eukaryota, Metazoa, Chordata, Testudines, Dermochelyidae. The transcript is spliced from 3 exons.
GGCAGGCUUUGGAAAAAGAGACUUUACUUUCUGGAUUCCCUCUCAGGCCCUCAGGAGAGGAACAUUGCUGAAAUUCAGACUUUCCAUGAGCAGCAUUUGGGUGUGUGCAGCUGUCUGCUCAUGAGGCUAGCAAUGGAAUAUCCAGCUAAAUAUGCCACCAGGAAACAAGUUUGAAGUGGAAGGGCUGAAGCAUUGUAAAGACACUCAGUUCUUGUGAUAGUUCUAGCCUGACAAAGAGCAAGAAGCAUGCAUCAUAAAUCUCCUGAGAAGACUGCCAGGGAGAGAUUUCCACUCCACUUUUGGAGAAGCAAGACAUUUGGCUCAAGUUCAGCCCUCAGCUUGACUCCCUCAAAAUGUUUUAAAGAGCAUCCAUACCUGAAGCCAGAAGAACCAUGUGUCAAGGGAAUGAAGACUGCUCCAGGUUGCAUUGGAUGUGGGAAACCAGCAGCGUCUACAUGGAGAAUUAGGAAACAUCUGCCCAACAUGAGAUCCCUAGGGAGCCUUUCCAGCAUCUCCUGGGUGAUCCCACAGUCUUCCUCCACCUUGUUCAUGGUGGAUGUUGCUUUUGGGACCUCAUUUGCAGGCAACAUUGUGCUAUGGGCCAGGUUAUCCUUCAGGUGAGCAUCACUCCUGUUCUCAAUGUUCAGCUUGUCUUGCAUUGAGUGUUGUGUUAUUUCACUGGUAAGGUCAUAGGGGAGAGCAGGCAGCAUGUGAGCCUCACUGUCUCAUUAGCAACAGGCUCCCACUUGAACCUCACAUCUGCAGAGCUGGCUGCCCAUCUGAAUUUUAUGGCUUGGCCUCUCAUCCAGCGUGACACCAUUUCUCCUGAAUGCUGACUUUUGGUGGUUAGUUGCAAGGAGAAUUUAGUCUGGGAAGCCAACAAGAGCUGCUCAGUCUUCAGUGCUUUUGAAAAAUCAGGCCACUUAUGUAGGCACCUUAAGAUGGACUUGGGAACCUAACUUUAAAUGCAUAUUUUGGAACAUCUUGGCCAUGCUAUCUUUUUUUUUUUUUUUUUCCCCAGAGAACAAGCAGCCUCUCAGCUAGGAGGUGGUGUCACGUGGGAUAGAGCCUGCCUUAACAUGGGGGAAAGUGAUAAACCUUACAGGAAAUAUAUAAAACAUACAUGGCAAAACCAAGUUUACUAUUUAAAUUGCCCUCUUAAAAUGGGGCAACCCCUGCACAGACACACACAAGUAAAAAUGCCCUGCUACCAAUAUAAAUAUAUCGGUAACCUUUUCUGACCAGGCAAACACCCAGCUUGUUCUUGGUUCUAACACUGGUUACUUUAUAUGGCUAUUGAGUGAUUGGUCAUUCUGUGUUUGUAGAGCACCUAGCACAAUUGGGGUCCAUUGACUGGGAUCCAUGACUGAGGUGCUAGAAUAAUAUAAAUAAUAAUAGUGCACCUUCUGCGUGGGGCUAAUGGCCUGCCAGCUAUUUGCUGCCUUCCCUCUGUGCAGACAGAGCAAAAGCUGUCUGCGUAUGAGCCUGGUGAACAAGGUGAAAGAAUAACAGCUGUAAUAAAAAGAAAAUGAAUACCUGUGGCACCUUAGAGAUUAACAAAUUUAUGCAU